AAAAAGGUCUUCUGUUGUGAGUGACACAUAGAGCAGCCUAAUUACUCUCUGUGUGGAAUUGACAUCAAGAGAUUUCAGAAACAUAAUUUUUUGGUACGUGGGCAGCUGGUGAUAGUUGGUCCUGGGCCCAA
RNAcentral lists this small nuclear RNA (131 nucleotides) under Myotis davidii. RNAcentral's name for it is "U11 spliceosomal RNA". It matches the Rfam family "U11 spliceosomal RNA". The record is from Rfam by way of RNAcentral. Lineage: Eukaryota; Metazoa; Chordata; Mammalia; Chiroptera; Vespertilionidae.